AUUGCACAAUGGGCGAAAGCCUGAUGCAGCGACGCCGCGUGAGUGAAGAAGUAUCUCGGUAUGUAACGCUCUAUCAGCAGGGAAGAAAAUGACGGUACCUGAUUAAUAAGCCCCGGCUAACUACGUGCCAGCAGCCGCGGUAAUACGUAGGGGGCAAGCGUUAUCCGGAUUUACUGGGUGUAAAGGGAGCGUAGACGGUAAUGCAAGUCAGAAGUGAAAGCCCGGGGCUCAACUCCGGGACUGCUUUUGAAACUGUGUGACUGGAGUGCAGGAGAGGUAAGCGGAAUUCCUGGUGUAGCGGUGAAAUGCGUAGAUAUUAGGAGGAACACCAGUGGCGAAGGCGGCUUGCUGGACGAUGACUGACGUUGAGGCUCGAAAGCGUGGGGAGCAAACAG
This 395-nucleotide ribosomal RNA is filed under the name uncultured bacterium. RNAcentral describes it as "bacterial SSU rRNA". It matches the Rfam family "Bacterial small subunit ribosomal RNA", at positions 363 to 775 of the family's 1533-position model. The record is from RNAcentral.